ACCUUCCUGGUGUAGUGGUCAGCACGUUCGACUCGUAUUCGAGAGCUUCGUGGUUCGAGUCCCAGAGAGGGCA
RNAcentral lists this transfer RNA (73 nucleotides) under Stegodyphus mimosarum. It matches the Rfam family "tRNA". Rfam says of the family: Transfer RNA (tRNA) molecules are approximately 80 nucleotides in length. Their secondary structure includes four short double-helical elements and three loops (D, anti-codon, and T loops). Further hydrogen bonds mediate the characteristic L-shaped molecular structure. tRNAs have two regions of fundamental functional importance: the anti-codon, which is responsible for specific mRNA codon recognition, and the 3' end, to which the tRNAs corresponding amino acid is attached (by aminoacyl-tRNA synthetases). tRNAs cope with the degeneracy of the genetic code in two manners: having more than one tRNA (with a specific anti-codon) for a particular amino acid; and 'wobble' base-pairing, i.e. permitting non-standard base-pairing at the 3rd anti-codon position. Lineage: Eukaryota; Metazoa; Arthropoda; Arachnida; Araneae; Eresidae. The record is from Rfam by way of RNAcentral.